This 70-nucleotide transfer RNA is filed under the name Troglonectes shuilongensis. RNAcentral describes it as "Oreonectes shuilongensis tRNA-Arg". It matches the Rfam family "tRNA". From Rfam's summary of the family: Transfer RNA (tRNA) molecules are approximately 80 nucleotides in length. The record is from RNAcentral. Lineage: Eukaryota; Metazoa; Chordata; Actinopteri; Cypriniformes; Nemacheilidae.
AGAGGACUAGUCCAAUAAAAGACCCCUGAUUUCGGCUCAGAAGAUUGUGGUUAGACUCCACAGCCCUCUU